RNAcentral lists this ribosomal RNA (301 nucleotides) under uncultured bacterium. RNAcentral describes it as "partial 16S ribosomal RNA". It matches the Rfam family "Bacterial small subunit ribosomal RNA", at positions 509 to 807 of the family's 1533-position model. The record is from RNAcentral.
CAGCCGCCACGGGAAUACGAAGGGGGCUAGCGUUGUUCGGAAUUACUGGGCGUAAAGCGCACGUAGGCGGACAUUUAAGUCAGGGGUGAAAUCCCGGGGCUCAACCCCGGAACUGCCUUUGAUACUGGGUGUCUAGAGUAUGGAAGAGGUGAGUGGAAUUCCGAGUGUAGAGGUGAAAUUCGUAGAUAUUCGGAGGAACACCAGUGGCGAAGGCGGCUCACUGGUCCAUUACUGACGCUGAGGUGCGAAAGCGUGGGGAGCAAACAGGAUUAGAUACCCGUGUAGUCCCUGUCUCUUAUAC